This 492-nucleotide ribosomal RNA is filed under the name uncultured bacterium. Its description in RNAcentral is "partial 16S ribosomal RNA". It matches the Rfam family "Bacterial small subunit ribosomal RNA", at positions 29 to 507 of the family's 1533-position model. The record is from RNAcentral.
AGUGAACGCUGGCGGUAGGCCUAACACAUGCAAGUCGAACGGCAGCACAGUAAGAGCUUGCUCUUACGGGUGGCGAGUGGCGGACGGGUGAGGAAUACAUCGGAAUCUACUUUUUCGUGGGGGAUAACGUAGGGAAACUUACGCUAAUACCGCAUACUACCUACGGGUGAAAGCAGGGGAUCUUCGGACCUUGCGCUAGUGAAUGAGCCGAUGUCGGAUUAGCUAGUUGGCGGGGUAAAGGCCCACCAAGGCGACGAUCCGUAGCUGGUCUGAGAGGAUGAUCAGCCACACUGGAACUGAGACACGGUCCAGACUCCUACGGGAGGCAGCAGUGGGGAAUAUUGGACAAUGGGCGCAAGCCUGAUCCAGCCAUACCGCGUGGGUGAAGAAGGCCUUCGGGUUGUAAAGCCCUUUUGUUGGGAAAGAAAAGCAGCAGGUUAAUACCCCGCUGUUCUGACGGUACCCAAAGAAUAAGCACCGGCUAACUUCGUG